GUGGGGAAUAUUGCACAAUGGGCGAAAGCCUGAUGCAGCAACGCCGCGUGAGGGACGACGGCCUUCGGGUUGUAAACCUCUUUUAGCAGGGAAGAAGCGAAAGUGACGGUACCUGCAGAAAAAGCACCGGCUAACUACGUGCCAGCAGCCGCGGUAAUACGUAGGGUGCAAGCGUUAUCCGGAAUUAUUGGGCGUAAAGAGCUCGUAGGCGGUCUGUCGCGUCUGCUGUGAAAACUGGAGGCUCAACCUCCAGCCUGCAGUGGGUACGGGCAGACUAGAGUGCGGUAGGGGAGAUUGGAAUUCCUGGUGUAGCGGUGGAAUGCGCAGAUAUCAGGAGGAACACCGAUGGCGAAGGCAGAUCUCUGGGCCGUAACUGACGCUGAGGAGCGAAAGCGUGGGGAGCGAACAGGAUUAGAUACCCUGGUAGUCC
This 430-nucleotide ribosomal RNA is filed under the name uncultured bacterium. Its description in RNAcentral is "partial 16S ribosomal RNA". It matches the Rfam family "Bacterial small subunit ribosomal RNA", at positions 354 to 796 of the family's 1533-position model. The record is from RNAcentral.